GUGAAUCAUCGAAUUUUUGAACGCAACUUGCACUCCCUGGUAACCCGGGGAGUAUGCCUGUUUGAGGUUCAGUGUUAAUAAAAAUCGGUGCGUCGCCAUUUUUGUGGUGUUCCGGAGUUUGAGUUGUCUUAACUUGCUUCUGCGUUUUUCAAUGGCUUACUAUUGAUCUUUUUUCCGCAUUUUAGACGUA
Molecule: unclassified non-coding RNA, 190 nt
Filed under: Rhizophagus irregularis
Lineage: Eukaryota; Fungi; Glomeromycota; Glomeromycetes; Glomerales; Glomeraceae
Description: partial contains 5.8S ribosomal RNA and internal transcribed spacer 2
Rfam family: 5.8S ribosomal RNA (bases 1-71)
Source: RNAcentral